CCGGCGACCGGCGCACGGGUGAGUAACACGUAUGCAACCUGGCCGUGACAGAUGGAUAACCGGGAGAAAUCCCGCCUAAUACAGCAUGACGCCGGGAAGGGACAUCCCUUUCCGGCCAAAGGGGGCGACUCCGGUCACGGAUGGGCAUGCGGCGCAUUAGGUAGUUGGUGGGGCAACGGCCCACCAAGCCGACGAUGAGUAGGGGUUCUGAGAGGAAGGUCCCCCACAUUGGAACUGAGACACGGUCCAAACUCCUACGGGAGGCAGCAG
This 270-nucleotide ribosomal RNA is filed under the name uncultured bacterium. RNAcentral describes it as "partial 16S ribosomal RNA". It matches the Rfam family "Bacterial small subunit ribosomal RNA", at positions 88 to 354 of the family's 1533-position model. The record is from RNAcentral.